Saimiri boliviensis boliviensis (Bolivian squirrel monkey) is the source of this 575-nucleotide non-coding RNA. The record is from RefSeq and is a predicted model, not a curated record. NCBI's taxonomy places the organism in Eukaryota, Metazoa, Chordata, Mammalia, Primates, Cebidae.
GGUUUCAGAAUAAACACUAUGGUAUCAAGUGCUGCUGAAGGUAAUGCUACCAACCAAUAAUUGUCAUUCUGGAGUUCCUUUACUCUCUUCCAUCCACGGUCAAGAUUUUCCUAACAUAUGAGACAAAGCUGUGCCUAAAGUGAAUAAUUGAUUAUUCAACGAGUGAAGAAGACAUAAGCUAAGAACAAGAUGCACUUGUUGUUGAAGAAAAACAUCCAACAAAGGAAGUUUAAAAGAACCCAGAUGAAUAUUUUUUCAGAUGGGCCACAAAUAAGUUAUAAAUUCACCGUGUUCUACAACUUCCCAGAGCUGAGAAACUAAAGACAGUUCUACAAUAUCACAUUUCAAAGGCGUCACAGGGCUUAGCUGCUAAUGCAACAAAGUGGUAUUUGUCUCAGGAAGCAUACAACAUCGUGAAUAACAUCGUCCUCAGGAAAGAAUGAGCCAAUAGGCACCAUUUCAUGUUGCAACGGAGCAGCCGGCUUGAUUGUGAACGCAGAUCUGCCCACUCCACUCAAGCUGACAUUUUGUACAGACUAGAAGGCAUAUGUGGUAUGAGAUCAAUAAAGAAGUAA